Long non-coding RNA from Cyprinus carpio carpio, 1647 nucleotides. The record is from Ensembl. NCBI's taxonomy places the organism in Eukaryota, Metazoa, Chordata, Actinopteri, Cypriniformes, Cyprinidae.
UUUGGACGUGUAAAUGCUUAUUGAGGGAUUAUUGGGGGAAUGGUUAUUGGGGGAUAUAUAUAUAUAUAUACUGUAUAUAUGCAUUAUAUACAUAUAUAAAGUGUAUACAAGAACCCUGAUCAUGUUAUUCCUGAUUGUUUAUCCAUUUGAAUUAAGGCAGAACCAGGAUGUGUUCAAAAUAUCAUGAUAGAACCCUUGCUCACACAAUGACUUCUUUUUAAAAUCAUUAAUUUUUUUAUAUGAUAUUGUGAUUGCAUGAAUGAACAAGAGCAGCAUUUACUUAACUUCUUAGCCUAGUAGUUAUUCAUAUUGUAAUAUGUAGUUUGGUGAUCUAUUAUUUUUUUAUUUGUUCUUCUCUUUCUCUGCAGGUUCCUUAAUCCCUGUCCCUUUAAAAAAAACAGCACCUCAUUACAUCAAAAAAGGCACUUUUAAGAGCCACAUUUGUUUUGUUUAUUGUCUUAUUUGUAUUGUUUAUUGUCUUGUUAUCUCAGUCUCUCUCUCUCUCUCUCUCUCACUCUCUCUCCAUCCCUCUCCCUCUCUCUCUCUCUCUCUCUCUCUCUCUCACUCUCUUUCCAUCCCUCUCUCCCUCUCUCUCUCCCCUACCAUCUGAGUGGUGGUUGCUUUUUAGAGGGACGGAGGACCUGGGUUGCUGCCUCUUCUUCACUCAUUGUAAUUAACUGAAAGUGUAAAGGUCGGGAUCAAAGAAUAUAGAUUCAUUUGUUGGUGUUGUUUUAAGCGCACAAUAUACCAAUUUAAUGGAUAGAGACUGGCAUAUAAUACCUGGUUAUUGCACCAAAUGAAAUUUGCAGGAGUCUGCACAAUAUAGGCCAACCUAUAAGAUAAGAUUGCUGUUGGCAUGAAGUCUAAGUAAAUCAAACUUAAGUUUUGUGAGGAAUGCCAGUAUUCAAAGAUGGUUUAUGACUACAGGAAAGCAAACAGCUCGCUUGGCGACUUUAUGUUUCAGGAUUUUUCUGCACUUAAAUAAUUUGCCAGCUUGCAAACAUCCAGAUCUAGUAUUACCUUUGAUAAUGUUAGAAAACAAGACCAGCCCCUGCCCCUAGACCAGCCCCAGCAAGACCAGCCCCUGCCCCUAGACCAGCUAAUCCCACAAGACCAGCCCCUAGACCAGCCCCAGAAAGACCAGCCCCUGUCCCUAGACCAGCUAAUCCCACAAGACCAGCCCCAGCAAGACCAGCCCCUGCCCCUAGACCAGCUAAUCCCACAAGACCAGCCUACCCCAACAGACCAGCAAAUUAUUAAACUUGAACUAUUUACGAUCGACUCACAGGCUCAGCAGCAUGUGGAGCCUCUACCACCCAGGAAAAGACAAACCCCACUAUCCACCCCGGGCCUACCAUCCACCCCAGGCCAAGGCAAACGAGCCCCACCAUCCAUCCAACCUCAACUAAAGAAAAAGACAAAGUAAGUAAUCUUGCCUUGCACCCCAUCUGUAAAUUGGUCCCAUGGUUUUGUAAUCAUUGUAUUAAUAUAAAAUAAGUUAACCAAUGUGAAUUUCACCCCCCUUCUAUUAAUUAAGCCACUUCCCCAAGAUACUGAAUAUAUAAUUCUUAAUCUUUUUCCCCUUGCACCCUAAGCCACAGGUAAAGGAGCCACACAAGCCCCACCCUCUACCCUGGCCAAAAAAAG